UCUGAUCUCAGAUCAAGCAAGAAGACCCGCCGAAUUUAAGCAUAUAAUUAAGCGGAGGAAAAGAAACUAACCAGGAUUCCCCUAGUAAGGGCGACUGAAGCGGGAAUAGCUCACGAUGUGAAUCAGCGCUGCUUUGUGGCGCCGAAUUGUGGUCUGAAAACGUUUGCAUUACUGGCGGGGCCAAGUCCCUUGGAACAGGGCAGCCGAGGGGGUGAGACUCCCGUGUGCCCUGCCUUUGGAGCGAGCGUUUGACGAGUCGAGUUGUUUGGG
Molecule: ribosomal RNA, 270 nt
Filed under: Sellaphora capitata
Lineage: Eukaryota; Bacillariophyta; Bacillariophyceae; Sellaphorales; Sellaphoraceae
Description: partial 26S ribosomal RNA
Rfam family: Eukaryotic large subunit ribosomal RNA
Source: RNAcentral